RNAcentral lists this ribosomal RNA (252 nucleotides) under uncultured bacterium. Its description in RNAcentral is "partial 16S ribosomal RNA". It matches the Rfam family "Bacterial small subunit ribosomal RNA", at positions 524 to 776 of the family's 1533-position model. The record is from RNAcentral.
UACGUAGGGUGCAAGCGUUAAUCGGAAUGACUGGGCGUAAGGGUGUGUAGGCGGUCUGUUAAGUCGGAUGUGAAAUCCCCGGGCUCAACCUGGGAACUGCAUUGGAAACUGGCAGGCUAGAGUACGUAAGAGGGGGGUGGAAUUCCACGUGUAGCAGUGAAAUGCGUAGAGAUGUGGAGGAACACCGAUGGCGAAGGCAACCCCCUGGGACGAUACUGACGCUGAGGCACGAAAGCGUGGGGAGCAAACAGG